AUUUUCACGUUCACGGGGAUUUUUUGCCUCUAACCGUCUCGGUUGUUAAAGUAAAUAUCAUUCAUAUUCGUAUCAAAACUUCCCACUAACGUAUGACAUGUCCUCCAUUUUGUAAUCUCAUCCCUCCGUUUCCCAGCAUUUCUCUUGCUCGUCAAUCUUUUACACACCUCAAAGGGCGCUUUUCCACCACACCAGGAGUCUGUACAGCUGCAGAAAUCAAGCCCACACCCUCUUCUGCUGUGCGUUUAAAGCACAUUUCAGCACAAAGAGAUCGAGAGUCUUCAUGGUUUAUAAGGACCACAAAGAAAGUGAGCUGCAAACACUUCCUGAAAGAGGUGGACAGGCGGCAAGGAACAGAUGGAAUACACCAUCCUGCUAAAUUGCUAUUUUAAAAAUCACACACCAGAAAGUGGUCGGGAAACAGAGCCACGUUCGUUUGCCCAAAGCUACAAACAGCAGGGAAAACACAGCAUAU
Molecule: long non-coding RNA, 475 nt
Organism: Paramormyrops kingsleyae
Lineage: Eukaryota; Metazoa; Chordata; Actinopteri; Osteoglossiformes; Mormyridae
Source: RefSeq, a predicted model, not a curated record